UGCUUGCACCCGCUGCUGGCG
Molecule: microRNA, 21 nt
Filed under: Eptesicus fuscus (big brown bat)
Lineage: Eukaryota; Metazoa; Chordata; Mammalia; Chiroptera; Vespertilionidae
Description: efu-miR-9198e
Source: miRBase by way of RNAcentral